RNAcentral lists this non-coding RNA (204 nucleotides) under Akkermansia sp. Lineage: Bacteria; Pseudomonadati; Verrucomicrobiota; Verrucomicrobiia; Verrucomicrobiales; Akkermansiaceae. The record is from RNAcentral.
CUUGACGCCUUUAUACGUGUUCGCUAUCAUGCCCGCAGCAACGGGGAAUCCUGUGAAAAUCAGGAACAGUCGCGCUGCGGUAACUGGUUACGACCUCUCAUCGCGAUGCAAAUCGUGAAAGCCAAUCCGGACACAUGCCGGGUGAAGGCGGGAGGAAGGUUUGAAACCAGAAGUCCGAAUAUCCGUCGCCUGGGGCACCACGCC